GAUGAACGCUGGCGGCGUGCCUAAUACAUGCAAGUCGAGCGAACAGACGAGGAGCUUGCUCCUCUGACGUUAGCGGCGGACGGGUGAGUAACACGUGGAUAACCUACCUAUAAGACUGGGAUAACUUCGGGAAACCGGAGCUAAUACCGGAUAAUAUAUUGAACCGCAUGGUUCAAUAGUGAAAGACGGUUUUGCUGUCACUUAUAGAUGGAUCCGCGCCGCAUUAGCUAGUUGGUAAGGUAACGGCUUACCAAGGCAACGAUGCGUAGCCGACCUGAGAGGGUGAUCGGCCACACUGGAACUGAGACACGGUCCAGACUCCUACGGGAGGCAGCAGUAGGGAAUCUUCCGCAAUGGGCGAAAGCUUUACGGAGCAACGCCGCGUGAGUGAUGAAGGUCUUCGGAUCUUAAAACUCUGUUAUUAGGGAAGAACAAAUGUGUAAGUAACUAUGCACGUCUUGACGGUACCUAAUCAGAAAGCCACGGCUAACUACGUG
RNAcentral lists this ribosomal RNA (497 nucleotides) under uncultured bacterium. Its description in RNAcentral is "partial 16S ribosomal RNA". It matches the Rfam family "Bacterial small subunit ribosomal RNA", at positions 28 to 507 of the family's 1533-position model. The record is from RNAcentral.